GACGAACGCUGGCGGCGUGCCUAAUACAUGCAAGUUGAGCGCUGAAGGUUGGUACUUGUACCAACUGGAUGAGCAGCGAACGGGUGAGUAACGCGUGGGUAAUCUGCCUUUGAGCGGGGGACAACAUUUGGAAACGAAUGCUAAUACCGCAUAAAAACUUUAAACACAAGUUUUAAGUUUGAAAGAUGCAAUUGCAUCACUCAAAGAUGAUCCCGCGUUGUAUUAGCUAGUUGGUGAGGUAAAGGCUCACCAAGGCGAUGAUACAUAGCCGACCUGAGAGGGUGAUCGGCCACAUUGGGACUGGGACACGGCCCAAACUCCUACGGGAGGCAGCAGUAGGGAAUCUUCGGCAAUGGACGAAAGUCUGACCGAGCAACGCCGCGUGAGUGAAGAAGGUUUUCGGAUCGUAAAACUCUGUUGGUAGAGAAGAACGUUGGUGAGAGUGGAAAGCUCAUCAAGUGACGGUAACUACCCAGAAAGGGACGGCUAACUACGUG
This 497-nucleotide ribosomal RNA is filed under the name uncultured bacterium. RNAcentral's name for it is "partial 16S ribosomal RNA". It matches the Rfam family "Bacterial small subunit ribosomal RNA", at positions 28 to 507 of the family's 1533-position model. The record is from RNAcentral.